Long non-coding RNA from Dermacentor silvarum, 785 nucleotides. RefSeq lists it as uncharacterized. Lineage: Eukaryota; Metazoa; Arthropoda; Arachnida; Ixodida; Ixodidae. The transcript is spliced from 3 exons. The record is from RefSeq and is a predicted model, not a curated record.
GAUCAUGUUCGUAAAGGUGCCCCCUACCGACGUGAUCAGCGGACCUCAAGAAAUCACCAAAAGCGUGCUGCAGCAGCUCUGUGUUGGACUGCGUUGACGCUUCGGGGGCAUGUUGUUCUCGAGUGACCUCCCAGAAGGUAAUCGAUAUGCUGCUGGGCAGCACUGGCGUCUUGCGGCUGCCCGUGACGAGUGCUCUCCUAGCUGUCUCCGUGCCCCUCAUCGGGCUCGCCAUUCUGUGCGUGCGGUACAGGCAGCCACCUGCGGACGCUCAACCCGAAAGCGAAAAGGAGGCAGCAUCGCGCGUCAAGUGGAGCCUCUGCUUCUGGGUGCUCCUGGCGUCCUUGGCGCUGUAGCGAGUCGAAGAAGAUCAUGUUCAUAAAGGUGACCCCUACCGACGUGAUCAGCGGUCCUCCAGAAAUCCCCAACAGCGCGCUGCUGCAGCUCUGUGUUGGACUGCAUCGACGCUUCGGUGCCAUCUUGUUCUCGGGCGACCUCCCAGAAGGUAUGCGGGGAACACUGGCGUCAAUGUUGGGGCUUGCUGCAGCAAUACAUGUUGGAUGUAGGAAGUGUGCGGGGAAGACAGAGAAAACGCACGAACAUAUAUCGAGACAGAGCCGCGUUUUUUGUGUUUCGCUUGCCUUCGUUGUCUUCCCGCAAUAAUCUGGUGCAUUGUGGAAGCACCUUGAGUAGAGAACAGAUGGGUACACAACCGAUGCACUGGUUUCAAUGUCGCUGGUUUCAAUGGCGACGUUUAGCUGUGGCACCAAAAGCGUAUUUAUAUAAAA